RNAcentral lists this ribosomal RNA (407 nucleotides) under uncultured bacterium. RNAcentral describes it as "partial 16S ribosomal RNA". It matches the Rfam family "Bacterial small subunit ribosomal RNA", at positions 360 to 774 of the family's 1533-position model. The record is from RNAcentral.
AAUAUUGCGCAAUGGAGGGAACUCUGACGCAGCGACGCCGCGUGAGCGAUGAAGGUCUNCGGAUCNUNAAGCUCUGUCCUUGGGGNCAAAGGUCUUCGGACUUGACGGUACCUAAGGAGGAAGCCCCGGCUAACUACGUGCCAGCAGCCGCGGUAAUACGUAGGGGGCAAGCGUUGUCCGGAAUUAGUGGGCGUAAAGGGUGCGUAGGCGGCCUUUUAAGUCGGAUGUGAAAGCCCACGGCUUAACUGUGGGACUGCAUUUGAAACUGGAGGGCUUGAGUAUCGGAGAGGGUAGUGGAAUUCCCAGUGUAGCGGUGGAAUGCGUAGAUAUUGGGAGGAACACCAGUGGCGAAGGCGACUACCUGGACGAAAACUGACGCUGAGGCACGAAAGCUAGGGGAGCAAACA